This is a long non-coding RNA of Ipomoea nil (Japanese morning glory), 229 nucleotides long. RefSeq lists it as uncharacterized. The record is from RefSeq and is a predicted model, not a curated record. The transcript is spliced from 3 exons. NCBI's taxonomy places the organism in Eukaryota, Viridiplantae, Streptophyta, Magnoliopsida, Solanales, Convolvulaceae.
UACGUACAGGAGCGAAUUGAAAAGAAAGGAUGGCAGCUCCACCGGCUAGGGCUCGAGCGGACUAAGAUUAUCUUAUAAAGUUGCUCCUCAUUGGCGACAUCGGUUUGCUUUGCAACAUGCUUUGAUCCUAAUAAUAUUUUUGCUGAACUUCAAGCAAAAGAAGAAGGAUUUUGAGCCUAAAGUAUACAUCUGUUGAUAUAGUUUAUUGUGAGGUGAAAGAUGAUAAUCU